Homo sapiens (human) is the source of this 1951-nucleotide long non-coding RNA. Ensembl annotates it as long intergenic non-protein coding RNA 2008. The record is from Ensembl. NCBI's taxonomy places the organism in Eukaryota, Metazoa, Chordata, Mammalia, Primates, Hominidae.
CUGUGUGGAAACUGGGAUUUGAACGGCGGGCAGGAAGUACUCGAGUAGGGAGUCUGGCCUAGUGAAAGUCUCUGUUUCCUCCUUUUCUUACUUUUCACUCAAUAAAACCCUGCUUUACACACCCUUCAAACCAUCUGUGAGCCUGAAUUUUUACGGCCAUGGGACAGACAAGGAUCCUGUCUUUAUCUAAACUAAGGAAAAGUCCUGCAACAUUUGUGGUGCACAACGUGGGGCUCGAGAAGUGGAAAACGCCUAUUUUGGAGUGAAACCAGGGCCGCCUUAUGAGCUAAACAGAGUGUGUUACAGCUUCAAUAGACUAAACAAGCUCUAAAUUUAUCUUCCUAUGGUCACGGGAUCUCAUAUAUUCUGGCUGUCAUUGUCAUAAUAAGCCACUCUUGGUCAUAUGGAAAAGCAUUCAGCUGCUCCCUGCCUUUGCUCACAGCGUGUGGUACUCUCUUAGAAGCUAUUCCUGGUUCAUUGGUAAUUUGCUAAAAGAAUGCCAGUGGGAACAGAACAGAAGCAUUUUCAAGAUUAAAUUGGCAAUGGUUGUGACUGAUUGGAUGAAGGAAGUAAGGGGGAGAGAUUCAUCAGAGAAAGAAGGCUUCUUUAAGCAGCAGAAUUGAGGAAUGAGUCAGAAAAUAAAAGAGCAAACAGGCUCAUUGGCAGAAGGGACUAGCCUUAUCUGAGUCUUUGAACUUGAACCUUUGAGUUAAUGCUAGAAUGAGGAAUGCUGAAGAUCACAGGGAGCCCUUGGAAGCUAGGAAAAGGCAAUGAAAGGCUUUUACCUAGAACCUGCAGAGACAACAUGGCCCUACUACCUCUUGAUUUCAGAAUUCUGGUCUCCUGAACUAAAAGAUUAAGGAAUAAGAAUAUCUAUCUUAUGCCUAUUCCAACUUCAGAGGGAGCAUCACUCUGUAGAAACCUUGAUUUGAACUUCUGGCCUUCUGCACUGGAAGAGAGUAAAUUUCUGUUGUUUUAAGCUACCAAGUUCAUGGUUGUUUCCAUUUCUUUUUAAGUUUAAGAGCAUAUUUUAGAUUCCAUCUUAAGACAAUGUAACAGCUGUGAGUCUUUUCAUGAGAAAGAAAAGAAGGCAGUUAGUCUAUAAUGAAGAUGAACUGUCAAGAGCAUGUGAAGGGGAAAGGGGUCUUCCCUGGCACCAAUCAGUCAUUUAUAUUUUACAAAACAAUGCAGCAACCUUAAUUCCUGCCUCCUCAGAAGAAAGAAUUUGACUAAGGAGCAUAAGGCAGAAGAAGAGACAGAGGCAAGUUUCCGAGCAGAAAUGAAUGUUGAUUUAAAAACUUUAGAGCAGAAAUGAAAGGAAGUAAAUUACACUUGGAAGAAGGCCAAGCUGGCAGAUUGACAGAUCAAGUGCACAGUUUGACUUUUUGACUUGGGGUUUUCUAUGUUGGCAUGCUUCCAGAGGCUUCCAUCCCUUCCCCCGAUUCUUCUCUUGGGGUGGACUCUUUGCCUGUACAGCGACCUACCAGCAUGUGGGAGGGGUUGUACACGCAGUGUGUUUACUGGAGUUGUGCACAUGCUCACUUGAGGUGUUCUGCCUGUACCAGCCUGAAUGUUCCUAGGUCGUAUACCAGUUAAACUCUGCCUUUUUGCCACUUAAUGCACAUGCUUGAGCCCACUCGCCCACCUCCUGAGAUCUAAUUGGGAAGCUGGUGAUUACCAGUUUCAGGUUUGUCUGUUUAUUAAGAGGUGUUUAUUUUCCUUGGUGCUGGCUGUGACCAAUUUUUUUUUUAGAGAUACAGCUAACAACAGUCUGACUGUCAUCUAAUGGUCACCUGAAUUCCUGGCGUGUGUGUGUGUGUGUGUGUGUGUGUGUGUGUGUGUGUGUCUGGUGUGCUCUCCUACUGUGCUCAUGUCUGACCUACUGUAACCAAAUGGGCCAUCAAAUUAGAGAAAAUUUUUGUGUUUCAAUAGAAACCUGUAUUUUCUACAG